AAUCAACGCUGGCGGCGUGCCUAACACAUGCAAGUCGAACGCGAAAGCCCCGCAAGGGGUUAGUAGAGUGGCAAAACGGGUGAGUAACACGUGGGUGACCUGCCUUCGAGUGGGGGAUAACGUCCCGAAAGGGACGCUAAUACCGCAUAACAUCCUGCCUUUUAAGAGGUGGACAUCAAAGCUGGGGAUCGCAAGACCUAGCGCUUGAAGAGGGGCCCGCGCCUGAUUAGCUAGUUGGUGGGGAAUGGCUCACCAAGGCAACGAUC
Molecule: ribosomal RNA, 266 nt
Filed under: uncultured bacterium
Lineage: Bacteria
Description: partial 16S ribosomal RNA
Rfam family: Bacterial small subunit ribosomal RNA
Source: RNAcentral